GUGUAAUGAGCUGAAUGUACCCGAAGGAAUAAGGAUCGGCUAAAUUCCGUGCCAGCAGCCGCGGUAAUACGGAGGAUCCAAGCGUUAUCCGGAAUUUAUUGGGUUUAAAGGGUGCGUAGGCGGCUUUUUAAGUCAGGGGUGAAAGACGGUGGCUCAACCAUCGCAGUGCCCUUGAUACUAAGAGCUUGAAUACAUUAGAGGUAGGCGGAAUGUGACAAGUAGCGGUGAAAUGCAUAGAUAUGUCACAGAACACCGAUUGCGAAGGCAGCUUACUAUGAUGAGAUUGACGCUGAGGCACGAAAGCGUGGGGAUCAAACAGGAUUAGAUACCCUGGUAGUCCACGCCCUAAACGAUGAAUACUCGCUGUUAGCGAUACACAGUUAGCGGCUAAGCGAAAGCGUUAAGUAUUCCACCUGGGGAGUACGGUCGCAAGAUUGAAACUCAAAGGAAUUGACGGGGGCCCGCACAAGCGGAGGAGCAUGUGGUUUAAUUCGAUGAUACGCGAGGAACCUUACCCGGGCUUGAAAGUUAGUGAAUCAUUUAGAGAUAGAUGAGUGAGCAAUCACACGAAACUAGGUGCUGCAUGGCUGUCGUCAGCUCGUGCCGUGAGGUGUUGGGUUAAGUCCCGCAACGAGCGCAACCCCUAUGUUUAGUUGCCAGCACGUUAAGGUGGGGACUCUAAACAGACUGCCUGUGCAAACAGAGAGGAAGGAGGGGACGACGUCAAGUCAUCAUGGCCCUUACGUCCGGGGCUACACACGUGCUACAAUGGAUGGUACAGAGGGCAGCAAGCUGGCAACAGCAAGCGAAUCUCCAAAAGCCAUUCACAGUUCGGAUAGAGGUCUGCAACUCGACCUCUUGAAGUUGGAUUCGCUAGUAAUCGCAUAUCAGCAAUGAUGCGGUGAAUACGUUCCCGGGCCUUGUACACACC
This 931-nucleotide ribosomal RNA is filed under the name uncultured bacterium. RNAcentral describes it as "bacterial SSU rRNA". It matches the Rfam family "Bacterial small subunit ribosomal RNA", at positions 459 to 1391 of the family's 1533-position model. The record is from RNAcentral.